AACCUUAUGGACCUGCGGGCGUAUACCUGCGGAAGGAUCAUUACCGAGUGAUGCCCUGUCGUCGGUCUGUAACAAGAUCGAUGACCGGGUGACCUCCCAACCCCAUGUUUAUUUGACCUUUUUGUUGCUUCGGCAGGACGGUUCGAAUGGACCUGAGCCCGAUUUCCGGGUGACUGUCGAUGGCCCAUAUCAAAUUCUUGUAUUGAAACCAUGUCGUCUAAAAAAACUUUUUGAGAAAUC
This 240-nucleotide unclassified non-coding RNA is filed under the name soil metagenome. Its description in RNAcentral is "partial contains 5.8S ribosomal RNA, internal transcribed spacer 2, and large subunit ribosomal RNA". The record is from RNAcentral.